GCCGGGAUGGCGGAACAGGCAGACGCAGGGGACUUAAAAUCCUCCGGAGGGGGACCUCCGUGCCGGUUCGAAUCCGGCUCCCGGCACCA
This 89-nucleotide transfer RNA is filed under the name Bacillota bacterium. RNAcentral's name for it is "tRNA-Leu". It matches the Rfam family "tRNA". Rfam says of the family: Transfer RNA (tRNA) molecules are approximately 80 nucleotides in length. Their secondary structure includes four short double-helical elements and three loops (D, anti-codon, and T loops). The record is from RNAcentral. RNAcentral also lists the same sequence under 1 other name. Lineage: Bacteria; Bacillati; Bacillota.